RNAcentral lists this ribosomal RNA (264 nucleotides) under uncultured archaeon. RNAcentral describes it as "partial 16S ribosomal RNA". It matches the Rfam family "Archaeal small subunit ribosomal RNA", at positions 717 to 982 of the family's 1478-position model. The record is from RNAcentral.
AGACGUCUACAUUAGAUACCCCGGUAGUCCCAGCCGUAAACUAUGCGCGUUAGGUGUAUCGGUGACCACGAGUCACCGAGGUGCCGAAGGGAAACCGUGAAAUGUGCCGCCUGGGAAGUACGGUCGCAAGGCUGAAACUUAAAGGAAUUGGCGGGGAGCACCACAACGGGUGGAGCCUGCGGUUUAAUUGGACUCAACGCCGGGAAGCUCACCGGAUAAGACAGCGGAAUGAUUGCCGGGCUGAAGACUCUGCAUGACUAGCUG